This 253-nucleotide ribosomal RNA is filed under the name uncultured bacterium. RNAcentral's name for it is "partial 16S ribosomal RNA". It matches the Rfam family "Bacterial small subunit ribosomal RNA", at positions 524 to 776 of the family's 1533-position model. The record is from RNAcentral.
UGCGUAGGGUGCAAGCGUUAAUCGGAAUUACUGGGCGUAAAGCGUGCGCAGGCGGUUCGCUAAGACCGAUGUGAAAUCCCCGGGCUUAACCUGGGAACUGCAUUGGUGACUGGCGGGCUAGAGUAUGGCAGAGGGGGGUAGAAUUCCACGUGUAGCAGUGAAAUGCGUAGAGAUGUGGAGGAAUACCGAUGGCGAAGGCAGCCCCCUGGGCCAAUACUGACGCUCAUGCACGAAAGCGUGGGGAGCAAACAGG